GAAAAAAAAAAAAAUUUGAAAGUUUAGAUGGCUAUCCGUAAAUGAUCAGAAGUUCUAAUGACGGUUUGAUUUAUGAGGAAUCAAUAUUUAAAAUUAACGAUUUUUGAUACGUUGGUAUUUUAAACGUUGGUGUUCUAGAAACACAUCCAAUAUCACGGAUUUUGGAAAAUUAAAGCGAACAAGACAAUAAUCAGAAGAUAUAAAAUGUCUAUAUUAAUAUGAGAAAAAAAAUAAAUUAUGUUGACACGUGCGAAAGUUCAGGAACAAAACUUGUAGGGACCAACUUGAAAUAUCAAAAUUGUGCAGGGACUAUCCAUACGUUUUUCUCUUAAAGCGUUGUCAAGUCAAUAUGAUAGGCACCCUUCAAUGAAUCAUGUUUAGCUCGGCAGAGACUCAGGUCAAGUAAACUUUUAGCUACUGCUUGGUUCGGAAUUAAGAAAAAAUUAAUUAUUACAGGAAUAGAAUAAAGUUCAGAAUUAAAAUGGGGUUAAAGUAUUUUUAUAUUUGGUUGGGAGUUGGAGUUAGUCCAGAAUUAAGAAAAAUAGUGUUUGGUUGGAGUAGGUGGAAUAAGAAGGAUAGUAGUCGGUAAAUAAAUAAAAAAACGAAAAUACCCUCACAUUAAUCUAUUGAAAUAAAAAUUUUUAUUUUUUUAAUUUAAAAUUGUAUGAUUGCAAAUAUUUUUGAGGAGUAAAAUUAAAUUAAUUUUAGCGUAAUUUUGUUCCAAAAAAUAUUUCUCACCAUUCUUUUUUUACUUUGAAAAUACCCAAAAUUUAGGAACAACUAUUUUAAAAUUUUCUUAAGUUCAAAUUUCACAAACAUUUGCAUAUUACAAACGAUUUUAAUAUUUUACUUACAAUUGCAUUUUAACCCUCCAAAAACUCUAAUUUUCAACCUUUUAAAAUUUUAAUAUUAAAAUUUUAAAUUCUAAAAUUUAUAAUUUAAAAAUUAAAAUUAAAAAUUUUAAAAUAUUAAUAUUAAUUUUAAGAUUACAAAUUAAGCAUUUUAAAAAUUUCAAAUAUAAAAUUUAAAUUUUAAAUUUUAAAUUUUAAAAAUACUAAUAUUAAUUUUCAGAUUGCAAAUUAUAAAUUUUUAAAAUUUAUAAUUUAAAAUUAUAAUUUUAAAAUUAUAUUAAAAAUUAAAUAGCGGUGGGAUUAACUUUAAUCCCACCCCUAUUGCGGGCUAGCCCAUUUGGAUAACCCCACCCUUUAUUUGAGCUGUUUCGUAAUAAAUGGGGGGUUAAGGGGUUAUUCCACCCUUAAUCCCCAACCAAACACUAGCUAUGUAUUUGUAUUUGGGUACAAAAGGGGGAUAAGACCUUAUCCCCCUCUUGUAUCCAAUCCAAACGGGGUGUAGUAGUUCCAUAAUGGAUAAAAAUGAAAUUAAUUAUGAUUGAUUAUAUAAGAGACUAUAAACAUUAAUAAUAAUAACUGGGUUUAAAUAUUUUGGGCCAGUGAUUUGGGCUCAACGAUUUAUUGUUGUUAGUAGGUCGGAUUGUUACAUUUUGUAGAAUUGGUUCACUAAUUGGAAGUGUAAGAUAAGUCUCGAUCAGGCUACGGUUUGAAUAAUAAGACUAGCGAGACAAGUUUCACAUCGCCCGGUAAUCUUGGGCUGUAUAUGUGAUUUGACUGACAAGGACGUUAGGAUCUAAACGGAGGGAGUCUAUAACACUCCAAUAGUUCCAUAUCGGGCUUUGAUUGGGUAUAUAAUAGAUAAUGGACGCUAGUAAUAAUAAUUGGACUUAAACAUUUCCGGCUGGUAGUUUGGACUAAACGAUUUAUUAUUACUAAUGGAUUGGGUUGUUAUAUUUGUUAUCAGAGCCGGUUCACCAGCCGAAAAUAUGAAAUAAGUCUCGAUUGAGACAUGCUCUGAAUGACAAUACUAGCGAGACAAGUCUCACAUUGCCUGAUGAUCUUGAGCUGACAAGGACGUCAGGGUCUAUGUAGAAUCCUNUGGGUUAAUCAUCGGUUUACUCCUAAGUGCCUAUAUAGUCGACAUGUAAUUGUGGAAUUAUCUUGUGUGGCGCAAUUGCUCGGUUCAUUGAUUUAGUAUGGUUAAUAAUCUGAAUUGGAGCUGAGUUAUUAUCUUUGGAUAUAUAUAUACAUGUUGGACUUGGAUAAGACUUAGGAGAAAACUCGCGAUUAUGAUCGUCAUAUAUUUAAACUACCUGAUUUAGCCCUAGGAGCCGUUGUAUUAUUUUAUACUGUAACAGUAUCUCCAUAGUGAGUAUUCCAGAUAGUUUAGCUUUCAGUUACGCUCGUGCCGGGAUGCCGAAUAUAUUUUUACAGUAGCGUUCAGGCUGUUCCGGACUGUUGGGUGCCGUCGGGGUUGACGGUGGACCCGUAUCGCCUUUUUGGCGUCGGAUUGUGCCGAGAGCACGUUACCUGUUGGUUGUUAGACCAGUUUGAGUCGGUUACUGGACUUUGGCUUUUGAGAGCCGAUUGAGCUCGACAGAGAUACGCUGCAUACUCGGUUGGGUAGCUCCCACGAGUGCCACUCCGAAAACGGGCGUUGUGUUUUCGCGUUGGUGUCGCUCAUGCCGGUUGGACUUGCUCUCCACGGACUAGUAGUGUGGAGGUAGCUGGAUAGUCACAACUAGGCAGGGACGGCUGUGUUCACAGUCCCAGGGACGGGUAUGCUUACAGUCCCGAUUGGAUUGGGUCAGAUUUGACAUUUUCUAUAGUUGGUUAGUGUAGAGCAUGAUAGUGUAGUGAUAAAUAGCGGUAGAUUUUAUUCCUGUAUUUACUACUAUCCUGUCUCCCUUCUGUAGAUUUCGUGGGUGGACCGAUGUUGUUUAGGGCCGCACCCACUGAGGACUACUUGUUUUUACAGUAGUUCUCACGCCAAGUUGUUACCCCUGUUUUGCAGAGCCACAGGUUUCGGCUGCUGCGCCUUCCGCGGAUCAGGAUCGAGGCAAGGGCGUCGCGAGUUAGAGCCCUACCCGACGAGCUGAGCUAGAGGCACUCCUACUGCAGGUAGACGUUUUGUUUCAAGUUUAUGUACAUAGCAUACUUAACUCGCCAGUGCGAGUAGCUCUGUAUUUUGGAUUUGGGCUAUGUAUAUGAAACUUAGUUUGUUUAGUAUUUGUCUACUCGAGCAGCUCUAUACUACUGUUUGUAGUAUUGUAUGCUUACAGGUACUGUUGUCGCAUCGUAUACAGGAAAAAUUUCUUUGUAUACGGCGGAUUUGUCGGCGUGCCUGGGGAACGAGACAUCCGGGGCGUGAUAGUCUAAACACCCCAAUAGUCCCAUAUCAGGUAGGAAUAGAGUUGUGACUGAGUAUAUAAGAGACCAUAAACAAUAAUAAUUAAUAAUUGGAAAAACUUCAAAAACCCCCCUGUGAUUUCGUAGUUUCCCACUUUGCCCCCUGUGGUUUAAAAUGUAUCAAUUUGCCCCCUCUGUGGUUUCUCUUUUGCACAGUCAAGUCAAUACGACAGACACCUUUCAGUUAAUGAGUCAAAAAAUUAAACAGCACAAAGACUUAGGUCAAGUAAACUUGUAUAUUUUCCAUUUUAUUUAUGAAAUUUAAUAAGUGCAUAAAAUUAUAUAAGAGUCCUUUUUCUAAAUUCGUUGUUUUUCAUAAAAUAGAUGAACUGUGUGAUUGAAAUGUGAGAUGAGAUUCACGAUGAGUCACUAAUCAUUUCUUUUACUACUGAAAAAGCGGAUCCUCUUUCAGAAGUUCGUGAAGUACAUAGUAGCAAAGCAUUACUAAAAGAAUGGGUUAGUUUCAUAUAGUUCCUGCAAACAAAAUAAUUACAAAUAUAUUUUUAUAAAGUUUAAUUUUUAUAUGUUGUUUUUUUAAAAAAUUUUAAUAUUUUCAAAUAUAUCCGUCUGGUUUAUUACGGUUAAACCACUGUUUAUUUUAUAACUGAAAUGACCUUUUUGCCAUCAUAGAUAUGUCCCUCUAAAAAUUUCAACUGUUAAUUAAAAAUAGGUAAAAAGGUCAAUUCACCUCAUUGAUUAAUUAGGAUUAUAAGUAUUUUACAUAUAGUUAACUAAUUUUUUCUAACAAAUCUUAACGGUUAGGAUAUAUCUGAAGAUAUUAGGUCUUUUGCAGGGAACUGUAUAAAAUUAACCUCUAAAAGAAUCAGCGAUUAAGUGCGUGCUUGUUUUGCCGACAGUGUUGUUUAGAUUGAAAUAGAUUUUAAGUCGAACCGGAGUUUAAGUGAAAUUUUUUUUUCUAUUAUUUAUUUCCAUUAGUGUGUAGUUGAAGUUUUUUGAGGUUUAUUAUUUGUUUGCCAGAAAGUCAAUGACACAAAAGUUGAAAUUUUUAACUUUUUACAUUUGUUUCACCUAAA
Molecule: long non-coding RNA, 4294 nt
Filed under: Ananas comosus (pineapple)
Lineage: Eukaryota; Viridiplantae; Streptophyta; Magnoliopsida; Poales; Bromeliaceae
Description: long non-coding RNA (ACOM_LNC043086)
Source: RNAcentral